RNAcentral lists this ribosomal RNA (465 nucleotides) under uncultured Methylophilus sp. Its description in RNAcentral is "bacterial SSU rRNA". It matches the Rfam family "Bacterial small subunit ribosomal RNA", at positions 338 to 795 of the family's 1533-position model. Lineage: Bacteria; Pseudomonadati; Pseudomonadota; Betaproteobacteria; Nitrosomonadales; Methylophilaceae. The record is from RNAcentral.
CCUACGGGAGGCUGCAGUGGGGAAUUUUGGACAAUGGGCGAAAGCCUGAUCCAGCCAUUCCGCGUGAGUGAAGAAGGCCUUCGGGUUGUAAAGCUCUUUCGCAAGGGAAGAAACGAUGCAGUCGAAUAAACUGUGUUAAUGACGGUACCUUGAUAAGAAGCACCGGCUAACUACGUGCCAGCAGCCGCGGUAAUACGUAGGGUGCAAGCGUUAAUCGGAAUUACUGGGCGUAAAGCGUGCGCAGGCGGUUUUGUAAGUCAGAUGUGAAAUCCCCGAGCUCAACUUGGGAACUGCGUUUGAAACUACAAGACUAGAAUAUGUCAGAGGGGGGUAGAAUUCCACGUGUAGCAGUGAAAUGCGUAGAGAUGUGGAGGAAUACCAAUGGCGAAGGCAGCCCCCUGGGAUAAUACUGACGCUCAUGCACGAAAGCGUGGGGAGCAAACAGGAUUAGAUACCCCGGUAGUC